This is a long non-coding RNA of Oreochromis niloticus (Nile tilapia), 312 nucleotides long. RefSeq lists it as uncharacterized. The transcript has 3 exons. NCBI's taxonomy places the organism in Eukaryota, Metazoa, Chordata, Actinopteri, Cichliformes, Cichlidae. The record is from RefSeq and is a predicted model, not a curated record.
AAAGAUCUGGAUGUGUUCGACCUGAAGAAAUAUUCUGCUUCAGAGGAGGCUCUUCUAAAGCUGCUGCCAGUGGUGAAAGCCUCUAACAAAGCCCUACUGUCUGGCUGUAACCUCUCAGAGAGAAGCUGUGAAGCUCUGCGCUCAGUUCUCAUUUCUAAGUGUUUUAGUCUGGGAGAACUGGACCUGAGUAACAAUGACCUGCAAGACUCAGGAGUAAAACUUCUAUCUGCUGGACUGAAGAGUCCAAACUCUUCACUGAAAUCUCUCAGUCUGUCAGGCUGUCUGAUCACAGAGGAAGGCUGUACUUCUCUG